RNAcentral lists this ribosomal RNA (421 nucleotides) under uncultured bacterium. RNAcentral describes it as "partial 16S ribosomal RNA". It matches the Rfam family "Bacterial small subunit ribosomal RNA", at positions 360 to 774 of the family's 1533-position model. The record is from RNAcentral.
AAUUUUCGGCAAUGGGGGCAACCCUGACCGAUCGACGCCGCGUGAGUGAUGAAGGUCUUCGGCUUGUAAAGCUCUGUUGUAAGGGAAGAACCGUACCAGUAGGAAAUGAAAGGUACCUUACGGUACCUUACCAGCAAGCCACGGCUAACUACGUGCCAGCAGCCGCGGUAAUACGUAGGUGGCAAGCGUUAUCCGGAAUUAUUGGGCGUAAAGGGAGCGCAGGCGGCUUAUUAAGUCUGAGGUUAAAGUUCGGGGCUCAACCCCGUAAUGCCUUAGAAACUGCUAGGCUAGAGUGCAGGAGAGGUUAGUGGAAUUCCAUGUGUAGCAGUAAAAUGCGUAGAUAUAUGGAGGAACACCAGUGGCGAAGGCGGCUCACUGGCCUGUAACUGACGCUGAGGCUCGAAAGCGUGGGGAGCAAAUA